UACGGAGGGUGCGAGCGUUACCCGGAUUUACUGGGUGUAAAGGGCGUGUAGGCGGUCUCUCAAGUCCGAUGCUAAAGACCGAAGCUCAACUUCGGGGUGCGUUGGAUACUGUGAGGCUAGACGGUCGGAGAGGGUAGCGGAAUUUCCGGAGUAGCGGUGAAAUGCGCAGAUACCGGAAGGAACGCCAAUAGCGAAAGCAGCUACCUGGACGAUUGGUGACGCUGAGGCGCGAAAGCGUGGGGAGCAAACAGG
Molecule: ribosomal RNA, 252 nt
Filed under: uncultured bacterium
Lineage: Bacteria
Description: partial 16S ribosomal RNA
Rfam family: Bacterial small subunit ribosomal RNA
Source: RNAcentral